UGUGAUACUAAAACUCUGUAAAAAAAGUUACAUGAUGCACAAGACUGUGAAAGCCUAAAUACAUGCACCAAAAAUCAUAACACACAGGACUCGAGGAAUCACCAACACUAAAUGAAGCAGCAGAUCUUUGCAGAAUGUACUGCCUUAGUGAGAUUUUCCUUCAAUACUUACCUCUGUUUCAAAGAGCUAAGAAUAAAAUUAUUACUUCUAUUUGGGACAGAACACUUAUACCAUUUCUAAAAAUGCUCAAGAAAAAGGAUACAUUUUGGAGUGGAUUUUAACCAAAGA
Long non-coding RNA from Leptonychotes weddellii (Weddell seal), 288 nucleotides. RefSeq lists it as uncharacterized. The record is from RefSeq and is a predicted model, not a curated record. Lineage: Eukaryota; Metazoa; Chordata; Mammalia; Carnivora; Phocidae.